Non-coding RNA from Odocoileus virginianus texanus, 459 nucleotides. Lineage: Eukaryota; Metazoa; Chordata; Mammalia; Artiodactyla; Cervidae. The record is from RefSeq and is a predicted model, not a curated record.
GGGAUCGAAUCCAGGACUUCCACUUUGCAGGCAGUUCUUCACCAUCUGAACCACCAUGGAUACCCAAUAGCAGUGUUCUUGGAUUGGCUGGAAAUCGAACCCAGGCCUCCCACGUGGCAGCUGCCAAAGGUCAUCUGACAUAAUAGCUGAUGAAUUCAAGCCCAGUGGAUUUCAUUUGCAAUUUUCAAUUUACCGAGGCCUCCAAACCCCACGGUGAUAAAAGCUUCCCCUAUCGUGGCCUGUCACAAACAUCAAGAAACUGCACAAACCCACAAGAAAGAAAAAAGAGAAAGCUGUGCAUCCUUGCAGGUACAGAUAAGGAGAACAGGAAGGAAUGGUAUCAUGCAGGAAGAACAUCUAUUAGAAUCAUCCAGAGCACAGAUUGGAUUGAUGCUGAAGCUCUAGUACUUUGGCCACCUGAUGAGAAGAGCUGACUCACUGGAAGAGAACCUGAUGCUG